RNAcentral lists this ribosomal RNA (253 nucleotides) under uncultured bacterium. RNAcentral's name for it is "partial 16S ribosomal RNA". It matches the Rfam family "Bacterial small subunit ribosomal RNA", at positions 524 to 776 of the family's 1533-position model. The record is from RNAcentral.
UACGUAGGGUGCGAGCGUUAAUCGGAAUUAUUGGGCGUAAAGCGUGUGCAGGCGGUUCUCCAAGUCUGCUGUGAAAGCCCCGGGCUCAACCUGGGGAUGGCAGUGGAAACUAGGGGACUGGAAUCUGGCAGAGGGGAGUGGAAUGCCGCGUGUAGCAGUGAAAUGCGUAGAGAUGCGGCGGAACACCGAUGGCGAAGGCAGCCCCCUGGGCUGAGAUUGACGCUCAGGCGCGAAAGCGUGGGGAGCAAACAGG